This is a long non-coding RNA of Capra hircus (goat), 3554 nucleotides long. RefSeq annotates it as junctional adhesion molecule 3. The transcript is spliced from 9 exons. The record is from RefSeq and is a predicted model, not a curated record. NCBI's taxonomy places the organism in Eukaryota, Metazoa, Chordata, Mammalia, Artiodactyla, Bovidae.
GCCGCCGUGGUCGCUAUGGUGACCGGGGCGGGCGCAGGACCGCGGGCAGGGCGCGUGCGCGGGGAGCGGGCCCGCGGCCCCUCAGCUGCGCUCGACAUGGCGCUGAGGCGAAGGCCCUCGUUGGUCCUGCUGCUGUUGCUUGUGCGGGGCUGCUUGAUCGGGGCUGUGAAUCUCAAAUCCAGCAACCGAACCCCAGUAGUUCAGGAAUUUGAAAGUGUGGAACUAUCCUGUAUCAUUACGGAUUCACAGACGAAUGACCCCAGGAUUGAAUGGAAGAAGAUCCAGGAUGAACAAACCACCUAUGUGUUUUUCGACAACAAGAUUCAGGGAGACCUGACCGACCGUGCAGAGCUGCUGGGGAAGACGUCUCUGAAGAUCUGGAACGUGACGAGGACAGACUCGGCCCUUUACCGCUGCGAGGUGGUUGCCCGGAACGACCGCAAGGAGAUCGACGAGAUCGUCAUCGAGUUGACCGUGCAAGUGAAGCCGGUGGCCCCAGUGUGCAGGGUGCCAAGGGCCGUGCCUGUGGGCAAGGCAGCCACCCUGUCCUGCCAGGAGGGCGAGGGCUUCCCGCGGCCGUACUACAGCUGGUACCGCAACGACGUGCCACUGCCCACAGACUCCAGGGCCAACCUGCGCUUCCGAAACUCCUCUUUCGUCUUAAACCCUGAGACGGGCACUCUGGUGUUCAGCGCCGUCCACAAGGAGGACUCGGGCCAGUACUACUGCAUUGCAUCCAACGACGCGGGCUCGGCCCGCUGCGAGGAGCAGGACAUGGAAGUGUAUGACCUCAACAUCGGCGGCAUCAUCGGGGGGGUCCUAGUCGUGCUGACCGUCCUGGCCCUCAUCACAGGGGGUAUCUGCUGUGCCUAUAGACGUGGCUACUUCAUCAGCCACAGCCGGAACGGGGAAAGCUACAAGAACCCAGGGAAGCCAGAUGGAGUUAACUACAUCAGGACAGAUGAGGAGGGCGACUUCAGACACAAGUCCUCGUUCGUGAUCUAGAUGGUGGCACGGCUGUGUGUACACGCAGACACCUCCAUGGGGAACCCUGCCAGGAGCAGCCCUGCAAGGGGCGCCGGAUGGGGCUAGACACGCACACAAAAGCUUUUGUUUUGGCCAAAGUUGACCGCUACUCCUUUCUUACUUUUUAACAAGCUACACGAAUAAAAGAGUUUUCCUGGAGAUGAGCAAGUCACCAGAAGGCGAGGAAGUGGCCGGGUUCACGAAGCCAACCCCGUGGGGUCUGCUGGCCUUGAGGUGGGCCGCCUGGGCUCAGGAGGCACGGUGACCUGUCCCAUGGUGGGGCCACGCCAGCAUGAGCAUCCAAGGCUGGCAGCCAGGGUCAUGACCUGAGCCUUGGCUGCAGUGACGGGGCUUCACGGUGGCCCCGGGGCCACUUCAUCCCCAGGCUUUGCCAUGAUAGUCCUGGUGUCCAUCCGGGGGAUUCUGUUUGGGUCAGCAUUUUAUAACAGCAGCCCAAAUCAGGACAGUAAACAGCUUGUUAGAAGGAGGGAUCUUCUUAGCUGUGGGAACCCUGCUCAUCUACAGAGGGUCCCAGCAUUGGAGAGCCUUCAUCUUGUGCUGAAUCUGAAAUGGUACUGACAUGAUGUUCUGCUUUUCUAUGGGUGUUUAUUUUAUAAAAUUUUACAGUCUAAAUUUUUGCUAAAGAUGUAUUUUGAUUAUUGAAAAUUUCUAUUUAAAUUGUAAAUAAGUUGUCAUAUGCUGUUAAAUACUGUAUCUUUUUUUUUUUUAAGUUCAACUUAAACUAGGAGCCCAAACUGCUCCUGUUCAAUUGGAAACACCACUGGUGGCUUAGGAAACCUUUGAGAAAACUCCAGCUGAGUAACCUCAUGGUCUAUUUGUGUCUGUGCAGAAGAGACGCAGGGCUCCUGGAUGACCUUCCCUGGGCCUACCCCCACCCCUAUCCCAGGCCCUACGACACAGGUGCACCAGCCGCAUGCCUAUUCGGAGCAGUAUUGGCUCCUGAGUCUCCAGGCCAGCCCUCCUGCCCUCAUCCACCUGAUGCCGCGACCGUCCUGGCCCUCAUCACAGGGGGUAUCUGCUGUGCCUAUAGACGUGGCUACUUCAUCAGCCACAGCCGGAACGGGGAAAGGUGGGCAGAACAGCUGUGACAGUGCCGUUCACCUGCCAUGUAGGUCCACCCAGGAUAGCGCCAAGGGGGCUGGAAGAGUGGGGUCCUCCAUGUGGCCCCCCAGCCUGGCUUCCCCGGGCCCAAGUUCUGUGGCUGUGCGUGGCUCAGUAAACCCAGCAGCCCUGCUGUCAGGCCUUUAAAUUCCUUCUACUUACUCAUGCAGGCGUCCCUUGUGCCUCAGCUGGUAAGAAUCUGCUUGCAGUGUGGGAGACCUGGGUUCAGUCCCUGGGUUGGGAAGAUCCCCUGGAGAAGGGAAAUGCUACCCACUCCAGUAUUCUGGCCUGGUAAAUCCCACGGACUGUAUAGUCCAUGGGGUCGCAAAAAGCUGGACACGACUGAGCGACUUUCACACACACACACAACUUACUCAUGCAGUUCAAGGGACGGUCCAGGGCCAAAGGCAGUUUUGAAAUCAGACCUGUCAACCACAUUUACGUUUGUUUCAAGACAGUGACCCCCACUGUCCCUCUGCCAUGAAGACAGCGCAGGUUCCAUCUCACCUCCCAGCAGGCUGUUGUUCAGGGUCGUGAAGCCAGCCUCUGAUGAUGGCAGGAAGGGUAGCCAGGCGACGGCCCAACUGACAGUGGGCAAAGCAUGAGCCUGGAUCCAAGACAGUUUCCUGGUGGUGAUGAAGUCUUUGUCCACCCGGCCUGCUGCCUGCUUCAAGGGGCGUCAGGAACACCAUCCAGAGGCCUUUGCUCCCUGUGAACAGGCGUUCCUAGCCUCAGACACACACUGCAUUCACUCCUGACGUGAAGCUCUUUGGAGCAGGAGCUUCGCAGAAGGUUGCGCCCGCUCAUCUGUCACCGGAUGGUUUUCACGUAGAAGAACAUAGUCAUCGUGGGGUUAAAUGUUUAGUGUCAUAAUUUUUUAUACUUUGGGUUUUUUAAUUGAACACUCAAGACUGUGUUGACCUUUCUUUUCUAAGUGGUGUGGACACUCUGCCAUGAGAACUGGCAGCAGCAGAAGGCAGCCCCUCAUCUUGCGGGGGUAGCAUCUUCUCUGAGUUUGUGACUUGAAAGCACAGACCUGAGAGGAUCCUUCCUUCUCAACUCCUCUCAUUGGAGAGGGAGGCACCCUCUGUCCUGAGGGCAGCUCUGGUGACUGGGUGGCCUUCUUGGACCCUAAAACCUCCACCCUGCUGCCCCAUGCCCUGGCUCUGACAGAGGAGAGGGGUAUGAAUGUGGGUCUGGAAGGUUGCUGCCCAUCACUGCAGACAUGCAGACAGAAAAGGAGCCUCGGGAGAUUUUAAGGUGUAAACAUGGAGCCUGGAGGCCAUACCUGCCGCUGUGGCCUUGGCGUGGCUGCAGCUGCGCCCGGUGCCACAGACUUGUGCUACUAACACACCUGUACGUUGGUGUUUGUUAAACCUCAUUUAUAAAAGCUUCUAAAAAAAAAA